RNAcentral lists this long non-coding RNA (3149 nucleotides) under Malus domestica (apple). Its description in RNAcentral is "long non-coding RNA (MDOM_LNC005940)". The record is from RNAcentral. Lineage: Eukaryota; Viridiplantae; Streptophyta; Magnoliopsida; Rosales; Rosaceae.
CACACCCCGUCCCAAAGGAGGGCAUGCUGGCCAUCACGUGAGAGUGACGUAACCAUUUACACAGUUCGGAAGCUUUAAAGAAUACAAUUACUAAGAUGAAACACCCGAGGGUGAGUCAUACUUUUAUUAAUUCUGUCAGAACACCGUUGGAUUCCUCGUGGCCACCAAAGCUCUGUUAUCUUAAACCUGGAGGGGCGCAAAACAAAAUUGAGUGGGUCAGUAAAACAAACUUUUCAAAACUUUCUUUUCUCUUUGAAUAUACUAACCCCUCACCGUAAAACAAGUAUAGUUUCCCAGAAGUAAAGUAUAUAAUCAUAUACGUAAUAUAUAUCAAAUCAUGCGGAACAAUAUGAUUGUAUGCCAUGCCAAACAUCAUAACUGAAUGCUCAUCAUCUAUAUGUACAUAUGAUGGAGUAACAUAUACGUAAUAUAUCUCAAAUUCAUGCUAGGCAAUAUGAAUGUAUGUCAUGCCAAAGUAUCAUAACUGAAUGCUCAUCAUCUCUAUGUACAUAUGAUAGAAUAACAUUUAAUCAAUUCAGCGCUCGGCUAUAAACAUAGUUCAUACUAUUUCAUCAUAAUCAACUCAACACUCGGCUGCAUAUAUAGUUCAUAGCUAACUCAUCAUAAUCAACUCAUUCGUAAUUAUCUCAUCAUAAUCAACUCAUUCGUAAUUAUCUCAUCAUAAUCAACUCAGCCCUUGGUUGUAUAUAUAGCUCAUAAUCAUCUCAUCUCAAUCAACUCAGCCCUCGGCUGUAUAUAUAGCUCAUAAUCAUCUCAUCUCAAUCAACUCAGCCCUCGGCUGUAUAUAUAUAUAUAUAUAUGUUUAACCUGCACACAUUCAAUACCACCUCACGUGGUCUACAAUUCAUCAUCGUAUAUAUCAUAGUAUGCUCUAGUGCUACAAUCACGUGAAGACUGUGCGAUAAAUCGCGGGUCACCUACGAGUCGAAUCCACAUAAGUGGUCUAUACGACAAGACUGUGCACCUAACUUGGAUCCAAGGCGAGCAUGCGGUGCGAGAGGUGAACAUCACGUGAAAGACUGUGCCUCUAUCUCUAGGCGGGAGCACUAAUAUACGUGUGCAAGUAAAUGAGCUUUCAAUCACAUCUCAAUCAUAUGAUUCAUCAUAUCUCAACUAUAUCUCAUGAUCGUUAUCAGCAUAAUAUCUCAAUAAUUGUGUCUCAAUUCUAUUUCAAUCACAUUUCAAUUAUAUCUCAAACAUAUCAUAAACAUAUCUCGAUCAUGUCACAAUUUCAUCUCAAUUAUAUCUCAUUCAUACUUCAAUCAUACCUCAAUCGUAUAAUUCAUCAUGUUUCAAUAGUAUUUCCCUCGUAUUUCAAACGUAUUUCAAUCGUAUAUCGAACGUAUUUCAAAUGUAUCUCAUACAUAUAUCAAAUGUAUUUCGUACGUAUCUCAAAUGUAUUUCAAUAGUAUUUCGUACGUAUAUCAAAUGUAUAUUAUACGUAUUUCAAAUGUAUUUCAUACGUAUAUCAAUCGUAUAUUAUACGUAUUUCAAAUGUAUAUCAAUCGUAUUUCAAACGUAUAUACUUACGUAUUUCAAAUGUAUUUUAUACGUAUAUCAAUCAUAUAUUAUACGUAUUUCAAAUGUAUAUCAAUCGUAUUUCAAACGUAUAUACUUACAUAUUUCAAAUGUAUUUUAUACGUAUAUCAAUCGUAUUUCAUACGUAUUUCAAAUGUAUUUCAUACGUAUAUCAUAUGUAUAUUAUACGUAUUUCAAAUGUAUAUCAAAUGAAUUUCAUAUGUAUAUCAAAUGUAUCUAAUACGUAUGUCAAUUGUAUUUCAAAUGUAUUUCAAAUAUAUAUCAAAUGUAUCUUAAUCGUAUUUCCAUAGUAUUUCAUUUGUAUUUCAAUCGUAUUUCAUGAUCGUUUUCAACAUAAUAUCUCACAUAUAACUUACCUGGGCCUCCUCAGUACCAUGCAACAAUAUGUACAAUUAUGGUAAUGCACAUAUUAAAAUAUGAUGCAUAUAUGACAAGCUAUUUAAUUCGUAUUUCUUUUUAAAAUACGUUUUCUAGGAAAUACGUCAAGUAUACGUAUAUAUAUACUUAAAAAAAUAUAACUGCCCACUCACUGAUAAGUAGCCGAUUCGUAACCCCCUCGUCUAUUUUGGUUACGUUCUUCGUCCGUAUAAUUUUCACCUAUACAAAAAUAAUUAUAACAUCAUUUAAACGCACAUACACAAACAUUCGUCAAUAACUUUCUCAUACGUUGCUCAAUUUGGGUAUGUGAAUAUACCACGGUGAUCUACACGACGUCACGAACACGUGAAAAUUUUCAGAACGGAAUUUGAAGCUUCCACGCACCCUCACGCGUCAGAGGAAGGUCGGACCUACGCGCCCCCACGCGCGUCUUCUUCCUCGGCUCGCCGGACUGGUUCGCCGGUUUCUGGGCAGUUUUGCCGGAAUUUCUGGGUAAACUUCAAAGUGUCAUAACUUCUUCAUUUCUUGGCCAUUUUCGACGUACUUUAUAUCAAAAUGAAGAUAUUGACAAGACGAACACAUAUAUACCUGUCUCGAUCCUUAACUCGCCGGGAAUUCACCGGAAAAAGCCUCGAAAGCCGUCGGACUCGCCGGAAACUGGGUAAGAUUCAAAUGAGUAUAACUUCUUUAAUAAUCAACGAAAUUGGGUGAAACAAAAACUAAAGUUGUAGUUCUCGAAGAGACGAAGAGAAUGGUACCUCGCACGACAUCUAACUCUCCGUUUUUUGGCCGGAAAACGCCUCGAAAGUUCCGGCCAAACUUUGAACUUUCCGAUCUCUGUGUUUUUACGUCCAAACACUUCCAACGAACUACUCCAAACCUCCUAAGGACCUCCUUAAGCUCCCUAUGAGCUUAAAAACUCCUAAAAAUUAACCAAUACAAAGUUGAUGAAUAGUACCCAAAUCGGAGUUCGUAUUUUCGACUUGAAAACGUUAUAGUUCUUAUCUGAAAUUGGUAUGGUUGGACUCGUAGCGUCGAAACGAAGAAGAUGGUGAUUUUACUUUCGUCGAUCUGUGAAGUUUUCGAAAAACUUGUGUUUUGCCGUGUGUGUGUGUUGAGGGAGAGGGAGAGAGAAUGAGGCUUGACGGAAGAGAGAAUGAGAGUUGAGUGUAUCAGGUCUUCAAGGAGAAAGAGAGUGUGAGAGACAGAGU